AUAACUAAGUUAUAACUAAAGUAUAACUUAGUUAUACCUAGCCUGUGAGGUACAAAAAAGUUAUAACUAAAAUGUAACUUUUUUGGACUUUGUCAUUUUCAUGUAUAACUAAAAUGUAACUUUUUGGACUUAGCCAUUUUCACGUGUAACUAAAACAUAACUUUUCUGGACUUUGUCAUUUUCAUGUAUAACUAAAAUGUAACUUUUUGGACUUAGCCAUUUUCAUGUAUAACUAAAACAUAACUUUUCUGGACUUUGUCAUUUUCAUGUAUAACUAAAACAUAACUUUUCUGAACUUAGCCAUUUUCAAGCAUUACCAGUAUAAAUUUACAAGUUUUGGGGGUUAUUUAAUGGAUACUACUUGACACCAACUUUUUUUUUUUUCAAAAAUAACAUAUAAACUAAGUGUUAAUUUGAAUGAAUUUUGAUCGUGUUCAAAAUGUUUUUUUUUUUUUUUCAAACACUGCAGCAGAAAACUUUGUCAAUUCCUGAACAAUAAUAUUGUUUACUACCAGUGAUCGACUUCUCAUUCAUAAUACCGGUAAAUAUGCUGUCCACAGCCAUGUCAAGUUCAACAGAAGGGAUGUGAAAUAAAAUCUUGUGAAUUACAUCUAUAAAUGAGAAACUCUCUCUCUCUCUCUCUCUCUCUCUCUCUCUCUCUCUCUCUCUGUGGUGUUUGAGGGUGUGUACACAGUACAUGUCAUGUGUGUGUAAUAAAUAUUAUUGUCUAUUUAAAUUGAUAUUUGUCAUGUAAGUUUCAACUAAAGUUGAGAAUAAUUAAUUUCUCUCUCUCUCCUUCUCUCUCUCUCUCUCUUCUCUCUCUUAGAAAAUACGUAUUUAUUGAGACCCUGAUGAGACAUAAUAUUUGUCUUGUAAAUUAUAAUAAUGCACUUACAUCUGAAGUUGGGAAUGAAUAUAUUUCAUAAUUCUGGGGAAAUAUAAAUGUACUGCAAGAGAUAUAAACAGUAUGAAAUGUAAUCUCAUGAAGUCUUCGUGUGCAAAACUGUGUAAAUUUCCCUAUUGUUUUCUGUGAGACAGGUGUUUGUACUAGGUGACCUUUGUGGCCAACACAUCGUAAAUAUUUCAGCUUGGGUAUUACACAAUCUCUGAAUGAUACAAUUCUACACAGGUUGUUUGAAAUCUGAAGAAAAUCAGUCGUAAUAUGGGUGGCUAAAAAGAUAAACAACAGCAUAGAGUAUGUGCAUGUUCAUGUUGAACAGAUAUUACGAUGUUGUGAAUAAAGACUGCCAGUUAUAUUAAGAUUUAAGCAGAUGACUAGUACAUGUAGAUUUUAUUGUUUGCAUAAUUAAAUAACCCAGUUAUAAUAGUUAUUUUCACAAAUAAACAAAUAUUAAAUUCAAAAUGGCGGCAAAUAUGGCGGCCGCCGGCCUCCGAUGUCCGUUUUGUUGAUACUAAGAUAAAUUCAAAAUUUUAACACCAACUGGUAUUUAUAUUUUUAAUUUAAGGUUGAAAUUACACAAUUAGGUUUAUUUGCAUUUAAAAUAAAUUAAUAAUGAAUUAUUUAUUUAUUUUUUUCGAUCACGUGACGUUUUUGAGUUCUAUGAUUGGUCAAUAACAGAGCGCGGAUUUUUCCAUGGACGAUUUGAAUGUUUGGAUGUUGAAAGUGUUGAUAGAAAAAAAGGAGAUAAAACCAGUUGCAGAAUAUUGGUACAUGAUGUUUCCAUGAGCUGAAUCUGUCCUGACCUGGAGUACAUGAAAUUCUUCACAAUAUUACUUGUUUAAGAAUUGAAGAAAAGGUUAAAAUUGCAAGCAUAUUUCAACGAAAACUUAGCCGACUACCAGUCACACUGCCCACCAGCCAAGACGUCUGACCAGCUAAAAUGAGGGACGCAGACCACCAGCCAAGUCCCUCGGCCAGCUCGGCUGACCCAGUGCGGCCUGUCAAGGGAUGACCAAGUCCAUCAACUAGCUCGGCUGACUACCAGUGCAGCCUGUCAAGUCCUUCAACUAACUUGGCCUAUUACCAGUGCGGCCUGUCAUUG
Saccostrea cuccullata (small rock oyster) is the source of this 2003-nucleotide long non-coding RNA. RefSeq lists it as uncharacterized. The transcript has 3 exons. The record is from RefSeq and is a predicted model, not a curated record. Lineage: Eukaryota; Metazoa; Mollusca; Bivalvia; Ostreida; Ostreidae.